This 1934-nucleotide ribosomal RNA is filed under the name Transversotrema haasi. RNAcentral's name for it is "SSU rRNA". It matches the Rfam family "Eukaryotic small subunit ribosomal RNA". The record is from RNAcentral. Lineage: Eukaryota; Metazoa; Platyhelminthes; Trematoda; Azygiida; Transversotrematidae.
UAGUUCAUAUGCUUGUCUCGCAGAUUAAGCCAUGCAUGUCUAAGUACAAACCUACAAACGGUGAAACCGCGAAUGGCUCAUUAUAUCAGAUAUGGUUCCUUAGAUCAUACAAACCACACGGAUAACUGUGGUAAUUCUAGAGCUAAUACGUGCCGCAAUGCCCUGACCCGCAAGGGAACGGGUGGCUUUAUUAGAUCAGAACCAACCGUGACGAAAGUUACGUAGGUUGUGAUGACUCUGGAUAACUUUGUUGAUCGCAGUCGGCCAUGUGCUGGCGACGGAUCUUUCAAAUGUCUGACCUAUCAAUUGUCGAUGGUAGGUGACCUGCCUACCAUGGUGAUAACGGGUAACGGGGAAUCAGGGUUCGAUUCCGGAGAGGGAGCCUGAGAAACGGCUACCACAUCCAAGGAAGGCAGCAGGCGCGCAACUUACCCAUUCCCAGAACGGGGAGGUAGUGACGAAAAAUACGGAUACGGGACUCUUUAGAGGCUCCGUAAUUCGAAUGAGUACAUUUUAAAUCCUUUAACGAGGAACAACUGGAGGGCAAGUCUGGUGCCAGCAGCCGCGGUAACUCCAGCUCCAGUAGCGUAUAUUAAAGUUGUUGCAGUUAAAAAGCUCGUAGUUGGAUCUGGGUCACAUGGCUACUUACCAGUGCCAAAGCUGUUCGUGCGGCUUCUGCCAUGCGUUCGGAUAGGUACGGUGUAGUGGUUGUGUGGUCUUUCUGCCGUGUCUGUUAUCAGGUGCUAAUCAUCUGGCAGGCGUUCCUGUCAGUUGGUUGGCACGCCUCCUGGUGCCUUUCAACGGGUGUCGGAGGCGGACGGCAAGUUUACUUUGAACAAAUCUGAGUGCUCAAAGCAGGCCUAAGUGCCUGAAAGUCCGUGCAUGGAAUAAUGGAAUAGGACUUCGGUUCUAUUUUGUUGGUUUUCGGUUCCGAAGUAAUGGUUAAGAGGGACAGACGGGGGCAUUUGUAUGGCGGUGUUAGAGGUGAAAUUCUUGGAUCAUCGCCAGACAAACUAAAGCGAAAGCAUUUGCCAAGGAUGUUUUUCAUUGAUCAAGAGCGACAGUCGGAGGUUCGAAGACGAUCAGAUACCGUCCUAGUUCUGACCAUAAACGAUGCCAUCUGACGAUCCGCGGGUGUCAAUCUGUGACCUUCGUGGGCAGCCCCCGGAAAACCCUUAAGACUUUGGGCUCCGGGGGAAGUAUGGUUGCAAAGCUGAAACUUAAAGGAAUUGACGGAAGGGCACCACCAGGAGUGGAGCCUGCGGCUCAAUUUGACUCAACACGGGAAAACUCACCCGGUCCGGACACUGUGAGGAUUGACAGAUUGAUAGCUCUUUCUUGAUUCGGUGGUUGGUGGUGCAUGGCCGUUCUUAGUUGGUGGAGUGAUUUGUCUGGUUAAUUCCGAUAACGAACGAGACUCUGGCCUGCUAAAUAGUAUACAUGUCCCCUGCACUCGUGCAGGUUUUGUCAUUCUCAGCCCGUUUCACGGACUGUGGUGGCAUUAUCCGGCGGGCGCGGUGCAUGUAAUUACUUCUUAGAGGGACAAGUGAGAAUAGUCACACGAAAUUGAGCAAUAACAGGUCUGUGAUGCCCUUAGAUGUCCGGGGCCGCACGUGCGCUACAAUGAUGGUUUCAACGAGUCUGGAAUCCCGGCCCGAGGGGGUUGGGCAAACUGUGUCAUGACCGUCGUGACUGGGAUCGGGGUUUGUAAUUAUCCCCCGUGAACGAGGAAUUCCUAGUAAGUGCAAGUCAUUAGCUUGCGCUGAUUACGUCCCUGCCCUUUGUACACACCGCCCGUCGCUACUACCGAUUGAAUGGUUUAGCAAGGUCAUCGGAUUGGUGCUGUUGUUGCGGUUUUCGCCGUUCGACUAGCGUUGAGAAGAUGACCGAACUUGAUCAUUUAGAGGAAGUAAAAGUCGUAACAAGGUUUCCGU